GGGGUUGUGGCUCAGUGGUAGAGCACUUGCCUAGCACGUGUGAGGCACUGGGUUCGAUCCUCAGCACCA
Molecule: non-coding RNA, 69 nt
Organism: Ictidomys tridecemlineatus (thirteen-lined ground squirrel)
Lineage: Eukaryota; Metazoa; Chordata; Mammalia; Rodentia; Sciuridae
Source: Rfam